RNAcentral lists this ribosomal RNA (252 nucleotides) under uncultured bacterium. RNAcentral describes it as "partial 16S ribosomal RNA". It matches the Rfam family "Bacterial small subunit ribosomal RNA", at positions 524 to 776 of the family's 1533-position model. The record is from RNAcentral.
UACGGAGGAUGCGAGCGUUAUCCGGAUUUAUUGGGUUUAAAGGGUGCGUAGGCGGAUCGUUAAGUCAGUGGUCAAAUUGAGGGGCUCAACCCCUUCCCGCCAUUAAAACUGGCGAUCUUGAGUGGAAGAGAAGUAUGCGGAAUGCGUGGUGUAGCGGUGAAAUGCAUAGAUAUCACGCAGAACCCCGAUUGCGAAGGCAGCAUGCCGGCUUCCUACUGACGCUGAAGCACAAAAGCGUGGGGAUCGAACAGG